This 252-nucleotide ribosomal RNA is filed under the name uncultured bacterium. RNAcentral describes it as "partial 16S ribosomal RNA". It matches the Rfam family "Bacterial small subunit ribosomal RNA", at positions 525 to 776 of the family's 1533-position model. The record is from RNAcentral.
ACAGAGGCCCCAAGCAUUAUCCGGAUUCACUGGGCGUAAAGGGUGCGUAGGCGGUGUUAUUAGUCGGGUGUUAAAUCCUGGGGCUCAACCUCAGAAUCGCAUUCGAAACGGUAAUACUAGAAGAAGUCAGAGGUAAACAGAACUCUCGGUGUAGGGGUGAAAUCCGUUGAUAUCGAGGGGAAUACCAAAUGCGAAGGCAGUUUACUGGGACUUUCUUGACGCUGAGGCACGAAAGCGUGGGUAGCGAAUCGG